UGGGGAAUAUUGGACAAUGGGCGAAAGCCUGAUCCAGCCAUGCCGCGUGAGUGAUGAAGGCCCUAGGGUUGUAAAGCUCUUUCAACGGUGAAGAUAAUGACGGUAACCGUAGAAGAAGCCCCGGCUAACUUCGUGCCAGCAGCCGCGGUAAUACGAAGGGGGCUAGCGUUGUUCGGAAUAACUGGGCGUAAAGCGCGCGUAGGCGGAUUGUUUAGUUAGGGGUGAAAUCCCAGGGCUUAACCCUGGAACUGCCUUUAAUACUGGCAAUCUAGAGUUCGAGAGAGGUGAGUGGAAUUCCGAGUGUAGAGGUGAAAUUCGUAGAUAUUCGGAGGAACACCAGUGGCGAAGGCGGCUCACUGGCUCGAUACUGACGCUGAGGUGCGAAAGCGUGGGGAGCAAACAGGAUUAGAUACCCCCGUAGUCC
This 424-nucleotide ribosomal RNA is filed under the name uncultured prokaryote. RNAcentral describes it as "bacterial SSU rRNA". It matches the Rfam family "Bacterial small subunit ribosomal RNA", at positions 355 to 796 of the family's 1533-position model. The record is from RNAcentral.